This 254-nucleotide ribosomal RNA is filed under the name uncultured bacterium. RNAcentral describes it as "partial 16S ribosomal RNA". It matches the Rfam family "Bacterial small subunit ribosomal RNA", at positions 524 to 777 of the family's 1533-position model. The record is from RNAcentral.
UACGUAGGGGGCAAGCGUUGUCCGGAAUCAUUGGGCGUAAAGAGCGCGUAGGCGGUCCGGUAAGUCCGCUGUGAAAGUCAAGGGCUCAACCCUUGAAUGCCGGUGGAUACUGUCGGGCUAGAGUCCGGAAGAGGCGAGUGGAAUUCCUGGUGUAGCGGUGAAAUGCGCAGAUAUCAGGAGGAACACCAAUGGCGAAGGCAGCUCGCUGGGACGGUACUGACGCUGAGGCGCGAAAGCGUGGGGAGCAAACAGGG